UACGUAGGGUGCGAGCGUUAUUCGGAAUUACUGGGCUUAAAGGGUGCGUAGGCUGCGCGGAAAGUUGGGUGUGAAAUCCCUCGGCUCAACCGAGGAACUGCGCCCAAAACUGCCGUGCUCGAGGAAGAUAGAGGUAAGCGGAACUUACGGUGGAGCGGUGAAAUGCGUUGAUAUCGUAAGGAACACCUGUGGCGAAAGCGGCUUACUGGGUCUUUUCUGACGCUGAUGCACGAAAGCUAGGGGAGCAAACGGG
This 253-nucleotide ribosomal RNA is filed under the name uncultured bacterium. RNAcentral describes it as "partial 16S ribosomal RNA". It matches the Rfam family "Bacterial small subunit ribosomal RNA", at positions 524 to 776 of the family's 1533-position model. The record is from RNAcentral.